AAGGCUAUAGCUUAAUUGGCAAAGCAUACUGCUCAUGAUAGUUCUAUUAGGUGUUCAAGUCACCUUAGCCUUA
This 73-nucleotide transfer RNA is filed under the name Acanthothecis fontana. RNAcentral's name for it is "tRNA-Met". Lineage: Eukaryota; Fungi; Ascomycota; Lecanoromycetes; Ostropales; Graphidaceae. The record is from RNAcentral.